This is a long non-coding RNA of Peromyscus eremicus (cactus mouse), 531 nucleotides long. RefSeq lists it as uncharacterized. The record is from RefSeq and is a predicted model, not a curated record. The transcript has 3 exons. Lineage: Eukaryota; Metazoa; Chordata; Mammalia; Rodentia; Cricetidae.
GGUAGGGAUAGGGAUCCCCAUUAAGGUGCGGUUGGGAGCAGCCGCGUCUCUUGACCAGUCUGGUACCCAGCGUUUCUUGGACCCGGCACACGUUGGAAAAAUUUCAGUGGCCCCUUUUUGCUUAGGAACUGAUUUGGAUGGCUCGGGUUCCAGUGAUAACUUGCAGAGAUGGUGGCUGGGGACUUCAGUCUGUAAAUGCACUCACUCAUUUGCAUAUUCUUCUGGUGCAGCGACCCCAACACAGACUUUGGAGGCUUUCAAAGUGGGGCACCUCGAUUUCUCGAAUCUGUGGUGUGGCGAGUACCCGUGUUCCGCUGGUUUAACUAGCCUGUUUGAAGGCAUAGUCGAUUCUCCAGCAAGAACAACGAAAGCAGCCUUCUUCACCCCCUGGGGGAUUUUCUUUUGCCCUCUGCAGCGGAGUGUGACUUCAGACAGAAACUUCAGAUUGGCCAAGGCAGGUCUGUCUGAUUCUAUUCUAAAGACCAAGUUGGAGAUGAGCUGUCGUUGGUGUUGACUGAGUCCAUACAGUCG